UACGUAGGGAGCAAGCGUUAUCCGGAUUUAUUGGGUGUAAAGGGUGCGUAGGCGGCUAGAUAGGUCUAUGGUUUAAGUCCGAAGCUUAACUUCGGUUCGCCAUAGAAACCGUCUAGCUUGAGUAUGGUAGAGGCAAGUGGAAUUUCUAGUGUAGCGGUAAAAUGCGUAGAUAUUAGAAGGAACACCAGUGGCGAAGGCGACUUGCUGGGCCAUCACUGACGCUGAGGCACGAAAGCGUGGGGAGCAAAUAGG
Molecule: ribosomal RNA, 252 nt
Filed under: uncultured organism
Description: partial 16S ribosomal RNA
Rfam family: Bacterial small subunit ribosomal RNA
Source: RNAcentral